Molecule: ribosomal RNA, 1285 nt
Filed under: uncultured bacterium
Lineage: Bacteria
Description: bacterial SSU rRNA
Rfam family: Bacterial small subunit ribosomal RNA
Source: RNAcentral
AGUGGCGGACGGGUGAGUAACGCGUGAGGAACCUGCCUUGAAGAGGGGGACAACAGUUGGAAACGACUGCUAAUACCGCAUGACGCAUAGAGGUCGCAUGAUCUUUAUGCCAAAGAUUUAUCGCUUCAAGAUGGCCUCGCGUCUGAUUAGCUGGUUGGCGGGGUAACGGCCCACCAAGGCGACGAUCAGUAGCCGGACUGAGAGGUUGAACGGCCACAUUGGGACUGAGACACGGCCCAGACUCCUACGGGAGGCAGCAGUGGGGAAUAUUGCACAAUGGGGGAAACCCUGAUGCAGCGACGCCGCGUGGAGGAAGAAGGUCUUCGGAUUGUAAACUCCUGUUGUUGAGGAAGAUAAUGACGGUACUCAACAAGGAAGUGACGGCUAACUACGUGCCAGCAGCCGCGGUAAAACGUAGGUCACAAGCGUUGUCCGGAAUUACUGGGUGUAAAGGGAGCGCAGGCGGGAAGACAAGUUGGAAGUGAAAUCCAUGGGCUCAACCCAUGAACUGCUUUCAAAACUGUUUUUCUUGAGUAGUGCAGAGGUAGGCGGAAUUCCCGGUGUAGCGGUGGAAUGCGUAGAUAUCGGGAGGAACACCAGUGGCGAAGGCGGCCUACUGGGCACCAACUGACGCUGAGGCUCGAAAGUGUGGGUAGCAAACAGGAUUAGAUACCCUGGUAGUCCACACUGUAAACGAUGAUUAAUAGGUGUUGGAGGAAUGACCCCUUCCGUGCCGCAGUUAAACACAAUAAGUAAUCCACCUGGGGAGUGCGACCGCAAGGUUGAAACUCAAAGGAAUUGACGGGGGCCCGCACAAGCAGUGGAGUAUGUGGUUUAAUUCGACGCAACGCGAAGAACCUUACCUAGACUUGACAUCUCCUGAAUUACCCGUAACUGGGGAAGUCGCUUCGGCGACAGGAAGACAGGUGGUGCAUGGUUGUCGUCAGCUCGUGUCGUGAGAUGUUGGGUUAAGUCCCGCAACGAGCGCAACCCCUAUUGUUAGUUGCUACCAUUAAGUUGAGCACUCUAGCGAGACUGCCCGGGUUAACCGGGAGGAAGGUGGGGAUGACGUCAAAUCAUCAUGCCCCUUAUGUCUAGGGCUACACACGUGCUACAAUGGCAAGUACAAAGAGAAGCAAGACCGCGAGGUGGAGCAAAACUCAAAAACUUGUCUCAGUUCGGAUUGUAGGCUGAAACUCGCCUACAUGAAGCUGGAGUUGCUAGUAAUCGCGAAUCAGCAUGUCGCGGUGAAUACGUUCCCGGCCCUUGCACUCACCGCCCGUCA